Molecule: long non-coding RNA, 894 nt
Organism: Dromaius novaehollandiae (emu)
Lineage: Eukaryota; Metazoa; Chordata; Aves; Casuariiformes; Dromaiidae
Exons: 2
Source: RefSeq, a predicted model, not a curated record
CCCCUCGGGGAGCCGCGCGUUAGGCCAGAGCACGGCGGGGAGGAGGGGGGAGAGGGGUGACAGAGUGGCGUAAGGAGAAAAAGGCGAGUGCGCUGGAGGCUGUUGCAACCCAAGCAGAAGUGGAGCAGGGUCCAGGAAUCCUCCCUCUGGAAAAUGUCUGAAGAGCAGAUGUAAUUUGGUAGCAUUAUAAAGGCCGAAGGAAAUAUGACACCCUGCACUGUCUUCUUCCUAAAAAGACAAAAGUCCUUCUAAUUUCCAGCUUUCCUACCUUGUCCCAGGAGCACAGCCUGCUACAACUUUAUCCCAGAAGGUUUCUUUAUGCAAACUGUCUCUCAAAAUAUGCGAGGUAGAGUUAAGCAGCACAAGACCCUGCAAUACACACUCUUCUGAAAGGCUGCUACUCAAGCCCGUGGUCUCAUCCUGCAGCUGUACUUAAAGCAAAAUUUCCGUUGACUUAAGCAGAAAUCGUAUGCAAGUUAGGACCGUGGGGUGGUCUGUCUCUUGCAGAAGGCCAGAGGUCCCAUGUCGGAGCUGCAGCAAAGACCUCCAAGGCACAGUAUCUUGCAUCAAUGAGAAUCCAUGCGGUCUCGCUGACUCCCACGGCAGCGCCUCUUUACUUCACUUUGUGAGAGCUCAGGGGAAAAGCUGACACCGUUUUGUCUCCAUGCCCAUGUACCUUGCACAGCCAAAAGAGGUGGCAGCAGAACAUGGAGACGUGUUUGUUCACCCAGAACAUCGCACCGGCCCGGGGAGGUAGUGAACGUUGCUGCGGUACAGUCUUUGUCAGCAUUUCUGUUUUAAACCACACUUGACUGACUUCCAACAACUACAAUGUAAUAUUUUGACUAUUUUAUUAGCAUUCAGAUGAAAUAAAACGUGUAUGUUAGAGGCUGA